This is a long non-coding RNA of Medicago truncatula (barrel medic), 1078 nucleotides long. RefSeq lists it as uncharacterized. The transcript is spliced from 3 exons. Lineage: Eukaryota; Viridiplantae; Streptophyta; Magnoliopsida; Fabales; Fabaceae. The record is from RefSeq and is a predicted model, not a curated record.
GCAAAACAGAGAUGCAUGGCCUGCAGCUAGUUCAGUAACUAUUUUUUCGAUCAAAAGUGGACGAGGAGGAGAAAUAGCAAUAUUUGCUCAAAAUGUAUGUUAGGUCUUUCAUGCAAGGGACUUUGGUUGAAACCUGAAGUGCCUUUCUUCCCAACACAAAAGAUAUGCCGAAGCAGAGUCUCUCAUUUCUUAGAAGCAUCACAAUACAGUUUUGUGAUGAGCUGGAGUUAUUUUCCCUAGGUGGAUUACCCAUUCCUAAGCUCAUUUAUUUGGAGGUGCAAAAUCGUAAGAAACACUAUGGCUGGCCUUCAAGAAAUGAAAUUUAGAAAUAUUCCACAUCUGCAAUCUACAUCCAAUGAAUUUUUAGUGGUGGUAUAGUUAAGGCGCGAAAGAAAAGGGAUGUGCACUCCGACCUGCAUUCUAUUUUGCUGAAGAUAUAAAGUGCUUGGAUGGGAAGUGGCUUCAAUGUCCGACCUGAAUUCUUGUCAUAGAAUGAGCUACCGAGCUCAAUUCAUUACCAGAAGAGGGAAUUGCAUAUCAGAAACUGCCAAUUGCGAGAAGCAAAUUAGAAGAGGAAACAAAGAAAAUAAUGGUGCAAGAUUGCUCACAUUUCCUCCAUAGUUAUCAACAACAAAAUGAUUGCAUGAGUGUUGUGUCCAGAUCAACCAAGGGCCUCAAGGGUGAUUGUGUGACUGGAACCAAAAUGGAAGCAGCAACAUCCUCUUUUAAUUAAAUGCAAUACUUUUUGCCGCCAAGCGCUGGAUGCAGUAGAGGAUUCCUACUCAUGAAAAUCAAAGAGGAGAAGUUUUUUCUUAUAAGCUGAAUACUUUUUGUAAUUUCUAAAGCUAUCUGGUAUUCAGGGCCGGCCCUGAGGGGGUGCGAACAGCUCAAACGAGCUGGGCCUCCCCCAAGGAUGGGCUUCAAUUUUGUUUUUUUAAUAUGAUGUAUUGAAAAUAUUGAUAUAUACAUAUAACAUUGUAACAUUAACGGUUUGGAAGGCGUGGCCUAAUGGUUAAGUAUGGUAGUAUUGUGCUUUGGGUCUAUGGUUCAACUCCUAGAGAGGUCAAAUGUAAAUAUU